CCGAACGCGCACGGAGGGUGAAAAAUAAUGAUAAUAAUAAAAAAAAACACAACAACUUGGGUAGCAAAAUAAGGCAAUGUUUGUGUCUGGGGACGCGUCGCCGCCUGUGGGGAACGCCGCUCGGUGUCCUGCGAGGAGAAAGCUGCUGUGGGAGCACGCGUGUAGGAGUAGCUGCUGCUGCGGGAGGUGGCCGGAGCUGCUGGGAUAACACCCAGCUCCAGAGAAGUGUUUUCCUAGCUGGAGUAGAUAAGGCUAAUGCUUUCUGUGCAGCUGGAAUACUGCGGUGUUCCUACAGAGGCAGCUUAUGUGAGGUGACCAGAAAGGAGGCACUUGCUGGUUUCGUUUUUGCACUGAAUGUAGCCAGGACGGAUCCUUGUGGGCUUUGGCAGCCCUUGGAAACUGUCAAAGGCAGUAUUUUGCAUUUCUGCAGAGCUUUGCACAGAUCCUGUUCCCAUGCAAACUGAUGAGGGAGAAAUACUGGAGGAAGGCAGUCCCAAGAUGGAACAUGAGGAUUUUGUAAUGGAGGGGCAUGGCAAGACUCCACCUCCUGGUGAAGAAAACAAACAGUGAGUCACACGUUUAUUUGAAAAGGGCCUUACCAUAGUAAAUGGUGUGAAGCACUCUUGUUUUAAUGUGCUGGAAACAUUGGUUGUUCGUUUGGUGCUCGCCCUUUUGGUUCAUUAAAUAUCCCUCUUUAAUAGUGGAUGGUGGCUGUUAAAAAUAAAGAGAAAUAAAUCAGGAUGUUGACUUGCUUUAAAUUUAAAAGCAUAGAAGUACGCUUUGCAAUGUCAGAAGGUAAAUCAGAAUUUGUUGUGAAAGGGAUAAUCGUUCUGGAAGCUUAGCGCUGAGGCAGUGAGUUCCAUUUUUUAUUUCUAAAGUGAAAAUUUGUACGUGAAACUUUUAUACAUUUCUUCUUCGGUGAAGUAAUCUGAAAUAUGAUAGAACCAGGGUCACCUUCUUGGUGUGCAUAUGGUAGAUUAGUCCUCUUUGAAAUAUGAGCCUUCUUUAAAAUGUGUUUUAAUAAAGGAACUGAAAUUGUAAACAAAUGCUCUCUCAAGGAUGAACAAUUUAAGAUGCUAGUACUUAGUGCUUUAGGGGGAAAAGCUUGAUCAGAGGAAAAAAAAAAAAAAGACACAUUUCCAUCAGCAAAAGGCAUAGAGGAAACAGCUUUUGUUAAUAGGACUUCAGACUGAAAUCCAGUAGCAGAAGAGCAGAGCUCUGUCCUCAAGGUGUGCUGCAGUGAUGGCUGUCUCCUGUAUUCUUCUCUUCAGCUAAUGCAAUGGUAAUACAAUUGUAUCAGAGUUAAAUGAUUUACCUCACCUACCUUACGGAGCAGGCAAGAUGGUCUUUGAGAAAUCCACAGCACAUUUUUUUUCCCCCUGUGCCUAGUUGGAUGCCUCUUCAUGAAAAGGAAUCCUGUUGUCUCUUUGAUCAGCAGUAAACUUGGUGCAGAAAGGUUGGGAUUCAGCUUGAGGUGGGGGCCUUCCUUACCUUUCGGCUAAGCUAACAACUGUACGUUCGCUGCCUCUGCGACAGUGAGAAAAUGUUUCUGAGGUAGCCAAGAUGAGCUCAGGGAAGUUCGAGUGCUGAGCAUGCACAUUUUUUCCAUCAUGGAAGUGAGCCAAACUUCUCAAAGUAAUUGCUGCUAUUUCUUUCUAUUCAGACUGCCCAACUUACUGUGGUACCAAGAGGUACAAAGCUUGUCGAAGUAGAAACUUUCAGAAAGAUCCAGAAGGAAAUCAGAGUCUAAAUGAAACGUGGGAGUUAGAUUUCUGUUCUUCUGGAUUGCUUAUUUUGGUUUAUAGUAGUAUAAUGAAACACAUUAUUAGAGUGAAUAUAUGGGGGAUGUCGUCUUGGAUUUAUCCUGGCCUUUUGUUUGCUGUCUUAUUUUAGGUGCAAGUGGAAGCUCCAGCUAUUUUACAGUUGACCUGAUUUCUAAUUAGGGCUUUUCAAGAGCCUUACAAUCUCCCUCUUCUCCAAAACUAUGGUUACUGGAAAGAGAAUGAGAACGGUGAUAGGCGGGAGUUGUUUUAUUUUUAAAGCUAAUAAAUUUGUGGUUUGUAUAUCAAAUAAUAUUUUGAUAAAAGGCUAAAAGUGCAAUUUCAGUAAUGCAACUAAGAGAUUAAGGCAAUUAUUUUGUGCCAUUGUAGUAUAAUGCCAGGAAUAUUCUGUUGUGGGUAUUGCUCUUCAAUUUUAGUUGGUCACUUAAAUCUUUUACUACCCACAAUCUCGAAUUUUCAUCUACCUAACAAAAUCGUCUACUUACGUAGAGCUUAAAGGUUGUAAGUGGCUUUGUUCUGGCAUCGAGGAUAAACAGAUGAUAAUCACAAAGAGGACCAGUAAUUUAUAACCUUAAUUUACUUCAAAAAGGCUGCGUUGUCUUCACAUCGUUUUUGUACAGAUCUCAAAAGGAAAAUCUGAAAUUGCCUCUUCGUAAUAUUACUUCCAUUAGCCGUUAUCUGGACAUUGUGGAACAAGCCUAGAAGAGGGCCACAGACUGACUGGCUGGCACAUCUGGCAGUUGAGGAGAAUUUGAGAUUGCUCAAUUUAGAGAUGAGAAGAGUCAGGGCUGGGCAAACUUACCCGUGUAUGUAGGUACCUGAUGAGGGGUGGAAGGAAGACUUGAGCCAAACUCUUCUCGGCAGUGUCAGUGGGGCAACGGGCACAAACUGAAAUACAGAAAAUUCUACUCAAACGUAAGAAGGAAAAUAAAACAACAAUUUUUUUAAAAAAAAGCUGUUGGGGGUGGUCAAGCAAUGGAACAGUUUGCUCAGAGUGGUUGUGCCUUCUUCAUGCUGUAAGAGACUCAAAACCCAGCUGGACACAACCCUGAGCAACCUGCUGGAGUUAACCCUACUUUCAGCAAGGGGGUUGGGAUUAACGAUGUCUAGAGAUCCCUUCCAUCCUCAACGUUUCUGUGAUUGUGUGCUUACUAUUGUCUUCCUGUUUGAUUUGAGUUAAAAUUGGAGCUUGUUAAUGAAAAGAUAGUAAGUUUGAAUGCAGAAUCAGAUUUCUUCUGUAGAAGAUGUGUCCUUCCCUUUCCAGCUGUUCAUUGCACUUCCUAGAGUUUACUCCCUCUGCAGCUAUGCAGAUUUUUUUUUUUUUUGAGUUCCUCUAAUUUGCUUUCCUGAAAAGUUGUCCUUGUUAAUUUAAUCAUCUUUCAUACAUACCUUAAUCUGGAUAACUGUACUGCCAUGGCCUUUGGAAGAUACAGGUUUCACCAAGUGACCCGUGAGGGAGCUAACUUGCAGCACAGCGCUGGAGCAGUCAGCAAGUGUUAACCUUAGGCAAACCCAGCAAUUUCUUAGUAUCUAGCAGCAUUCCAGGGGACUCAAAUAAGGUUUGAAUGUGCAAUAACAAAAAAAUAUAAAUAAAAACAAAAAAAAAAACUUUUGAGAGACUUCCAGUGGAAGCAGUAGCUCUUGCCUAGCCUUGGUCUCUUGUGAAAUGUUGUCUGCAAAAGUACAGCUGCAUAACGGAUUACAAAGAGCCAGCAUCCAUGGACAAGUUCUGGCACUGUAUUUCUGAAAUGCAACAGUGUAUUUCAGCUCAGUAUGACUUGGGUAUAAACUUGGGAUUUUAAGUGUACCUUCUGGUAUUUAAAAAAUGGUUUAAUUGCAAAAACUUUUCUUUUGCUGUAUGGAAUGGCUCUCUCAAGCAAACCUACUGUAGGCUUGUAGCAUUUCAAGAUCUUUUGGUUAAAAUCUGGAUAAUAACCGAACUCUUGUCUGCUAGUAUCUGUCAGCUUUGUGGGGAGGAAUUCUCCUUUUAGAUGGUAUGUGAGGUCUUUUAAACUGGUCAUUUGCAACAUAAAUGUAAGUCAUUUCAGUUGAAGCUGUUUAUGAAGUUACCCAUUCAAAAUCCUUUGUAGAAAUGAAAUGUGGAAUGGGCGUUCUUGUCUCAAGUCCUCUGAAAGAUCUGCAGUUCAUGUGCGGUGCCAGUGUUAUAUGGACUGGCGUGGUUGUGCAGCAGUGAGGGCUGCACCUUACUCUGAAACCCCUGCAUGGACUCCCGCAGAGGACUGAGGCUGAUGAUGGCCACCAUGGACCGUGCUUCUCCUCCAGAAGAGGAGCAAUGCAUUUGAGAAAUUGUUACUUUGCAGAUUUGAAGUAAUAGAUGACACCUGGAUCUGUUAGUGAAAGGGAAGUAAUACACAAACUCAUUUUGUAACAACAACAAAAAGUUUGACUGACACAUAGAAGGCUGCUGGAGGCAGCAGCUAUUCAGACUAAAAAGGGAGCCAAGUUCAUACAUUCAUUUGCAAGGUAAGCCAAGCUAUUACCACUGUCUGAUGCACCUCGGUUGGCUAUUCCCUACCUGCUGCUUUAUGGAGGUGUUUUCAACUACCUAAGUAAUUUGUACAUCUGGAAGUGAUUCACACCACAAGAAAGAUAGCAAGAGAAGAUCAUCAUUUACUAAGUAUCAUUGAUUAGCCAUAUUGGAUAGCCUCUUCCCUGGCUUGACAGGUUUAUGUGGAUUCUGAGGCACCAAAAUUGCAGUCAUGCCAGAAAAGAGAUUGCAGCUGUGAAGAUCGCAAAAUCAUUGUUUUAAAUUUGGUCAUGCUCUUUUAAAUCCUUUUUUAAGACUUGAGAAGAAAUAUUCAAUGUCUUUCUGGACUGAUAUCACACUGUAAUUUAAAGAAGGCUACACAUAAAAUCAUACAGGCUGGAAAGAGGAAUUGCAGACCAAUAAAGUAAAGACCAAUAAAGUAAUUUAGGUUGGAAAGGACCUCUGAAAGUCAUUUUAUCCAAUCCUAUGCUUAAAGGAGAGGGGGAUUUGAAGGUUAGAUCUAACUUCACAGUUACAUCAGGCUACUCAGGAUUAUUCUAGAGCAUUUCUGGGCAAUCUCUUGCAGUGUUCAAUCACUCUCAAUAAUCCUAAUAUUCAGUGGGAAUUUCCCUUGUUGCAAUUAGUCUGUUGCCUUUCAACCUUCCAUUAUGCACGUCUGAAAGUCAGGCUCGGUCUUUACUAAAACUUAAUCUCUCUUUGUUUACUAAGCAGAAGGAUCUCCCCGUGGCCCACUUGCUUAAUUUCUCUUCAGACAAAGCAAAGCAAGUGCUAUCAGCCUUUCUUUGUAAGUCGCAUUAAGGAACCAGUUAAUAGGCCUGUCUUCCUUCAUUUUCAGCAACCUAUCAAUAUUAUGUGCCUCGCUGCCACAGUAGCAUAAAUCAACCAAUACUACUCUUUUAUAGUGAUGCUGAAAACUAUAGAAAGUCUUCCGUGGUAUAUCCUGAAGAUAACAAACAGCUUUGGCUGCUGGGAAUGCCCAAUGUUGUUACAAAAUAUGGCAGUAUUCUUGUGAAGGGUCUCUUCAGUGUUAAAUUUCCAAGAAGGCCCAAAGCCAUAGAAUCUCUCUCUGUAGCAUGAAAUCGUGUUCUUAGCAAAUUUAAAGUAAGCCAUGGCUAAAUACGUGCAUAACAGGGUUUUUGCUUGUUGUUUUAAGGACACUCCUUACUACGGAAGGUAUUAAGAUUUGUCUCGAGUAGCUCCACACCUUUUUUAAUUAACUGACAGUGCCAGCCAAAACAGAAGAUUUUGAAGGUAUUCAUGCUAAUACUGUCAAAGUAACCUCCAAAUCCUAGUUCAGAUUAUCAACCCAAUUUGGGCUACCUAAUUUGGAUGUCAGCUCAAAUUCUGUUGAAAUUCAUGGCAAAUUAUGCCCUUCCUUGGAAACAUCAAUGCUUAUGUUCAAAAUGAAAGGUCGUAGCUAUUUUUUCUGUGUCUGUAGAAUAAGUAACCCAUUACAUAAAUCCUCUACAAAACUGUCCAUCCACCCCUCUUUCCCCCACCCCCAAAAAAAGUCCUUUGUCCUACAUCCAAACAAGGCACAGCUGAGACAUGCACUAUGUAUGUAGUGGCCAUACUAGAUGUUUUUGUCGCAGGGUGUUGUGGUUCUGUUAAUGUACAAGAAGAUGUUUCAGGCUGGUAAUAAUUCAGACUAGUUCUGGUGUUGGCAUCCGAGUGGGAGAAUUUUGACUUGGACUUUUUUUUUUUCUUUUACAUCCUUGGAGAUAUGAAAGGAUACGGGAAGCAGGAGAGCAUGAAACUAGUGCUAGAGGUAAGAAUUGAGUAUCUAAGUGAGGAUUCAGGAAUACUUUCAUCAGCUACAUACUGUCCAAGUGUUUUUAAGCUGCAAUGGUGUGGGCGACCCUACCUGUGUAGGUAAGGGAGGGGCACAGAAAACCAUUGCCCUUUGUUGUGCGAUGGAGUGGGUAGUAAUGGAUGAGGCAGCAGUGAACUCUAGCUGGAGAGCAGCUGUGUUUUAGCCCUAAGACUGGUAAGUCAAUAAUGUUGAAAAAGCUGGCUUGCACUUCUUAAAAUAGAAUACUUCAGAACAAAACAACUACAAAAAUCUGCAGAAUAUACUUAAGACUUCAGCACUUUAAAUGCUAAGGGUUCCAUCAAUUCUCUUCCAUGUUUUAUCAGUUAGUGUUAAGCUUUUUUUUUUUUUUUUUUAACUUUUUUUGUGCCUAAAGUUAUUCUUCCCAGGAAAACUCCAGUCUGAAUAUUCUAUGCAAAAAUCAUUAAAAAUCACACUCACUUCUGCAAGCUAGUCUUGAAAACGCUGGAAAAUGUUUUCAAUUGUCAUCUCAUUUUCUUAAAGUUACGCAGAUUCACCUACUCACUCAUUUUUCUUUCAAACCUUGUAUUAAGAGGCAGCAAAGCAUACAGCAUUGUGUCUUACUUUGUCAUGAACAGAUACUGGCUUUUCAUGUACCUCAGCUAACCUACACCAUUAGUAUGCUGUCAUUUAGCAAGUAUUUUCUUAAUAUGUGGAAAAGCAGAAGCUAGAUGACUUGAGGAAAAAGAAAACAUAUCACACAGAAAAACAUCAACUCUGGAAGUAAAAUUCCUACUUACUAUCCACAUAUUUAACCUACACACUACUGAAUAUUGAGAGAAGAAAAGAUUUGUGGACAGUAUGCAUUCUACAUUUGAAUAGCAUGACGCUUCUUUUCCCUGGGAUUUUACAGCAUUUUCUUCCAGAUGUCUUCUGGUAAGACCAGGCUAGUUUGUUGUUUUUUCCAAGAUCUGUAUUUGUCCUGCGUAGGAAGUUCACAAAACCUGCGUCUGAACUCUGCAGUCUAAUCUGAUCAAGAGACUUCAUAUUUGUUGUCUUCCCAGACCAAGAAAAAAAAGCGUAUUUUGCGUUCCAGUUUGCUGAUACUUAUAAAUAUGGUAUUGCAAAAUAUCCGGAGUAGGUAGUGUCACACAUUCCCAGUUUAAUUAAUAAUUUAGUAGUAAUUCUAAUUGCUAACAAAAACUUACUGUACAGUUUACUGUAUUUUGAAGCAGAGAGUAACUGUAUACAGACUAAAUUCCUAAAAUCCCAGAGCCUCUUUAUUUGAGACACAACCUCCAGCCUAAGCUCUCCAGUCCAUUUUCAGGGAGUGAACUAGCUAGGGACACUAUUAAGAUCAGGUUAAUUGUCUGAGAAGUCUUUUUUGGUUUGUUUGACUAGUGGAUGUUCCCCGCCACCCCUUUCCUAGGCUGAUGCUUCCUCAGAAGCUGACUGAGGUAACUGCCUUCUGAUGCAUCAUUUAUAUGGAUGGCUGGAAAUUGCUCUCUUUUCAGCUUUCCCUUGGUAGAAACUGAUGGGUGGCCUCUUACAUAGGAGAGACAAGUUGCUUACAGGUUGACGUUUAGAAAUUUAGAUAAAACAUACACAUAAAACAAACAAUACAAACAUAAAGAAACCUGUUUAGAUCUGCUUGUUUCUAUGCUGCCCUUCUCAAGCACAUACUUGUGAUGUACAAACUUAAAAGGUAGGAUGUCUGUAUUAAAUAUAUGCCUUAAAUGCUAUAUAGAAUGCCAUAAGUCCGCAGUGAGCCUUAAAUGUUCCGUUUGUGAUUUGUCUCCCACCUUGAUGUGGAAGAACACAUACUACAAAGUUAGUUCCUGAGAUUGGCAGGAAAUGCAGUUUAAAGAAACUGUUCUACCUUUUUGCCUUUGUACUGCCACUUCCUUGAGGACAGUUUGAUUUCUUCCUUCUUCUCCCCACCUUUGCUCCUCUUAGUAUAACUUUGUACACUUUUAUAAGAGUAAAACUUUCAGUGCUAUCCUGUAAGUGUUUUAUAGAGGAAAUCCUUGGAAUUCAAGCAAGUAUUUAGAAGUUCCUUAAACAAAACUAGUAUUUUUCAUUGAUAAAUCAAAUGUAUUUCUGGUUAGUAUUUUUUUAAAAAAAAAAAAAAAAAAAAAA
Molecule: non-coding RNA, 8200 nt
Organism: Anas platyrhynchos (mallard)
Lineage: Eukaryota; Metazoa; Chordata; Aves; Anseriformes; Anatidae
Source: RefSeq, a predicted model, not a curated record